CAGGGAGACAACAAAAUGUUUAAUAUUAUUAUUUUGUCACCUUAGGUCGAUCGGUAUCUCGCGUUCUUAAUUUAUUAAGAAUUUCAUUUCCUAAGUUUUUCUAGGUCACACCCAUUUUUUUUCCUGGGCCAUUAGCUCAGGUGGUUAGAGCGCACCCCUGAUAAGGGUGAGGUCCCUGGUUCAAGUCCAGGAUGGCCCAUAUCUCUAUGUUGGGGGUAUAGCUCAGCUGGUAGAGCGCCUGCUUUGCAAGCAGGAUGUCAGCGGUUCGAGUCCGCUUACCUCCACUGAUUACCACCUCUUCCAUAAUCUUUAGAAAGGAAAAAUUUUGGAUUGUGACUAUUAUUCUGAACGAAUCUAGCUUCCUAAUGAGACCAUUAAGAUGCUGGACUCAUUGAAUUAAUUUCAUUGUUUUCAGAGAACCUUGACAACUGCAUAGAUUAUUUUUAAAGACAAUAAGCAUUUUUAAUGAUGCAGAUUUUUUAUUUUGCAAAUGCAUUAAUAACAAUUCUAUUAAGCUGAUGCUUCAAUUUUGAAGUUAUU
Molecule: transfer RNA, 540 nt
Filed under: uncultured cyanobacterium
Lineage: Bacteria; Bacillati; Cyanobacteriota
Description: partial miscellaneous RNA
Rfam family: tRNA (bases 212-284)
Source: RNAcentral